UACGUAGGGGGCAAGCGUUGUCCGGAUUUAUUGGGCGUAAAGAGCGUGUAGGCGGCCGUACAGGUCAGCUGUGAAAACUCGAGGCUCAACCUCGAGACGUCGGUUGAAACCGUACGGCUAGAGUCCGGAAGAGGAGAGUGGAAUUCCCGGUGUAGCGGUGAAAUGCGCAGAUAUCAGGAGGAACACCGGUGGCGAAGGCGGUUCUCUGGGCAUGUCCUGACGCUGGAGGAGCGAAAGCCGUGGGGAGCGAACAGG
Molecule: ribosomal RNA, 255 nt
Filed under: uncultured bacterium
Lineage: Bacteria
Description: partial 16S ribosomal RNA
Rfam family: Bacterial small subunit ribosomal RNA
Source: RNAcentral